Molecule: long non-coding RNA, 570 nt
Organism: Perognathus longimembris pacificus (Pacific pocket mouse)
Lineage: Eukaryota; Metazoa; Chordata; Mammalia; Rodentia; Heteromyidae
Exons: 3
Source: RefSeq, a predicted model, not a curated record
UAAUAACACAAGUCAUUAAGCAGAUCCAGUGAGCUGUGGGAGGAGGGGAAAAGUUAUACGUCAUGCAAAUCUUUCCUAGAGUGGAACACAGUACAAUGAACCCAUAAAAAAUUAUCUUAGGACAGUUUACUUCAAAAGCACUACAUGUAUACUUAUAUUUAAAAAAAAACACUCAAGUUAUGAUAAACUAGGACUACUUUGGGGGUUCCUUAGUUUUCCUGGGUCAAUGGCAAUAAGCUACGUUAGGGAAUUGGAAUUCAGUGUGGGGAGUUCCUUAGUAUCACAAUAAACAUUUCCCUAAGGAAGAAAAUUAGGGGUUAGGUGUGGCUGGGGCUGGGGUACAGUACAGAUGAGGUAUCAUCUUACUUAGAGAAGCUCUGCCUUUUACUAUAUCCACGUGCUAUAGCAAGUAUGGGCUUGGGCCCCAGUGCUGCAUUCAGUAAAUCGGACAGCCAGAACAAAAAUAUCCCAUUACAACAUAGACUUAAAGCAUUUCAUGUGAACUGUUCAAAAAUAAACAAAAACAAAUGGAGAGGCUAGUGUAUAGCUCAGUGGUAGAUACAAGGCCCU